AUUGAACGCUGGCGGCAGGCCUAACACAUGCAAGUCGAACGGUAACAUGAAGCAUCUUGCUGCUUCGCUUUCGAGUGUCGUACGUGUGAGUAAUGUCUGUGAAACUGCCUUAUUGAUGGGGUUAACUACUGUAAACUUUAGCUAAUACCGCAUAACUUCUCAAGACCAUAUAUCGUUACCUUAUUGCCUCUUUCCAUCGGCUGUUCCCAGAUGGGAUUAGCUAGUAGGUGGGGUAACGUCUCACCUAGGCGACGAUCCCUAGCUGGUCUGAGAGGAUGACAAGAAACACUGGAAGUGAGACACGGACAAGACUCAUACGGGAGGGAGCAGAGGGGAAUAUUGGACAAUGGGCGAAAGCAUGAUGGAGAAAAGCCGAGUGUAUGAAGAAGGCAUUAGGGUUGUAAAGUACUUUCAGCGGGGAGGAAGGGAGUAAAGUUAAUAAAUGUGAUCAUUGACGUUACCAGAAGAAGAAGCACCGGCUAACUCCGUG
Molecule: ribosomal RNA, 490 nt
Filed under: uncultured bacterium
Lineage: Bacteria
Description: partial 16S ribosomal RNA
Rfam family: Bacterial small subunit ribosomal RNA
Source: RNAcentral